GCAGGGCGUGGUGCCUCACGCCUGUAAUCCCAGCACUUUGGGAGGCUGAGGCGGGCGGAUCACAAGGUCAGGAGAUCGAGACCAUCCUGGCUAACACAGUGAAACCCUGUCUCUACUAAAAAUACAAAAAAUUAGCGGGGCAUGAUGGUGGNNNNNNNNNNCCACCAUCAUGCCCCGCUAAUUUUUUGUAUUUUUAGUAGAGACGGGGUUUCACCGUGUUAGCCAGGAUGGUCUCGAUCUCCUGACCUCGUGAUCCGCCCGCCUU
Molecule: non-coding RNA, 265 nt
Organism: Chlorocebus sabaeus (green monkey)
Lineage: Eukaryota; Metazoa; Chordata; Mammalia; Primates; Cercopithecidae
Source: Rfam